Molecule: ribosomal RNA, 405 nt
Filed under: uncultured bacterium
Lineage: Bacteria
Description: partial 16S ribosomal RNA
Rfam family: Bacterial small subunit ribosomal RNA
Source: RNAcentral
GACGAACGCUGGCGGCGUGCUUAACACAUGCAAGUCGAGCGGAGCGGCGGACGGGUGAGUAACGCGUGAGUAACUGACCCCCUCUCUAGGCUAACAGUUGGAAACGGCUGCUAAUACCGGAUAGUGGGGGAUGACUCGCGUCCUAUCAGCUUGUUGGUGGGGUAGUGGCCUACAAAGGCGACGACGGGUAGACGGCCUGGGAGGGCGACCGGCCACAUUGGGCUGAGAUACGGCCCAAACUCCUACGUGAGGCAGCAGGGGGGAAGAUUGCAGAAUGGGGGAAACUAUGAGGCAGAAACGCCGGGGGCGGGAUGACGGGUUUCGGGUUGUAAACCGCUUUCAGCCAUGACGCGGUAGUGGCAGAAGAAGCACCGGCUAACUACGUGCCAGCAGCCGCGGUAAUAC